UUUUUCCAUGGCUACACCCAAAAUUCCGUGGAAGCAGACACAGUUAUUUUGGAACCACAGCCCCGUUCUAUCCAGAUGGGAGAAGACAGCCAUUCCUUGCUGCUGCUCACCCCCGCUCCCUAGCUGCCCCUCGAGGUCUCCAGCCUGUCCCUGUGUGCCCGCACCUCUCCCAGCACGAGGGCUGGGCUGACGCUGGGGCAGGGGCUGGGACUGCUCCCACUCAGCUGAUUUGGGUGUGAGAGGCUCUCGGAGAUGCGCUGCCUGCGGUUCCCGGUUGUCAUGGCAACGCCUGUGCAUCCCAGGGCAGUGCUGAGCAGUACCGCACUGCACAGAGGCACCCGCACCUUCCUUCAGAGCCGCACACCUCCUGCUCCUUCUUCCUUUGCUAAUUUAUGCUUAAUCUAAGGAAGGGAGCGCAUCCACAACAAAUGCCACAGAGUCUUGAUUCAGCCGGUCCAUCCAGCGGUGAGAAGGGCCCCUGCCCAGGCCGGAGCUGGUGCCACUGAGCAGGGCAGCGCUCCCCCCACUGCCCCCAGCCCUCGCCCUUCUCCUGCAGCCAAGCAGCCAUGUCUCACAGUGCCAACAGGCAAACAUUCACCGACCGAGGGUACAGCCAUUCCUGCUAACUACUGACUUCUGCUGCACUGGAACCCAAGCCACUGCAUUCAGACAGCUUGAAUUAAUGAAAUCUAAGAGAGAAGCCUGCGUAGGACAUGGCAGGCCUGCGAGCGCAGAGCCACGCGUGCUGCACAGCCUCCAAGCCAUGCUCUGCCUGCACGGGAGCCCUGAGAAGCAGGAAAAGAAAGGGAGAGGGAGAGCUUUGCCAAAGGAAAAAUGACAUCUUGGGACAGCUGAUACCUCCCAAACUCGCACUCAACAAUGUUAUCUUAGUACUUCCUCUGCCGCUCCAACCCUCUGACCACCAUGGCAUUCACCUCUGACAGAAGCUGGCGGGCAGCUCAGAAAUGCACUCACUGGUCAUCAAUCCACGUUUUUGUCAUAAUGAUAAAUACAUGAAGUGUCCAAGCAGCUUACUCAUUGUCUGCUUCCUCUUUUCAGAACCACUGCGACAAAUAAAUAUGGACAUGCUUGUGGGUGGACUCGGUAU
Molecule: long non-coding RNA, 1108 nt
Filed under: Numida meleagris (helmeted guineafowl)
Lineage: Eukaryota; Metazoa; Chordata; Aves; Galliformes; Numididae
Description: lncRNA (ENSNMEG00000006654.1)
Source: RNAcentral